RNAcentral lists this transfer RNA (66 nucleotides) under Ammothea calmani. Its description in RNAcentral is "tRNA-Leu". The record is from RNAcentral. Lineage: Eukaryota; Metazoa; Arthropoda; Pycnogonida; Pantopoda; Ammotheidae.
ACUAAGAUGACAGAAAAUAAAUGUGAUAGUUUUAAGAAUUAUAUAUGAAUAAUUAUUCUUUUAGUG